This 948-nucleotide ribosomal RNA is filed under the name Mycobacterium sp. enrichment culture clone 11S_6. RNAcentral describes it as "bacterial SSU rRNA". It matches the Rfam family "Bacterial small subunit ribosomal RNA", at positions 54 to 1030 of the family's 1533-position model. The record is from RNAcentral. Lineage: Bacteria; Bacillati; Actinomycetota; Actinomycetes; Mycobacteriales; Mycobacteriaceae.
UAUGCAAGUCGAACGGAAAGGCCUUCGGGGUACUCGAGUGGCGAACGGGUGAGUAACACGUGGGUGAUCUGCCCUGCACUUUGGGAUAAGCCUGGGAAACUGGGUCUAAUACCGAAUAGGACCACGCGCUUCAUGGUGUGUGGUGGAAAGCUUUUGCGGUGUGGGAUGGGCCCGCGGCCUAUCAGCUUGUUGGUGGGGUAAUGGCCUACCAAGGCGACGACGGGUAGCCGGCCUGAGAGGGUGACCGGCCACACUGGGACUGAGAUACGGCCCAGACUCCUACGGGAGGCAGCAGUGGGGAAUAUUGCACAAUGGGCGCAAGCCUGAUGCAGCGACGCCGCGUGAGGGAUGACGGCCUUCGGGUUGUAAACCUCUUUCAAUAGGGACGAAGCGCAAGUGACGGUACCUAUAGAAGAAGCACCGGCCAACUACGUGCCAGCAGCCGCGGUAAUACGUAGGGUGCGAGCGUUGUCCGGAAUUACUGGGCGUAAAGAGCUCGUAGGUGGUUUGUCGCGUUGUUCGUGAAAACUCACAGCUUAACUGUGGGCGUGCGGGCGAUACGGGCAGACUAGAGUACUGCAGGGGAGACUGGAAUUCCUGGUGUAGCGGUGGAAUGCGCAGAUAUCAGGAGGAACACCGGUGGCGAAGGCGGGUCUCUGGGCAGUAACUGACGCUGAGGAGCGAAAGCGUGGGGAGCGAACAGGAUUAGAUACCCUGGUAGUCCACGCCGUAAACGGUGGGUACUAGGUGUGGGUUCCUUCCUUGGGAUCCGUGCCGUAGCUAACGCAUUAAGUACCCCGCCUGGGGAGUACGGCCGCAAGGCUAAAACUCAAAGGAAUUGACGGGGGCCCGCACAAGCGGCGGACAUGUGGAUUAAUUCAUGCAACGCGAAGAACCUUACCUGGGUUUGACUGCACGGACGCCGCAAAGUCGGUUCCCUUGGGCCGG